GAGACUCUGUGCGCGUGCAUAUCAAUAAGCGGAGGAAAAGAAACUAACAAGGAUUCCCUUAGUAACGGCGAGUGAAGCGGGAAGAGCUCAAAUCUGAAAUCUUCAAGGUUCUACCUUGACGAAUUGUAGUUUAAAGAAGUGUUUUCUGUUAGUGGAGUGGCAAAAGUUCUCUGGAAUAGGACAUCAUAGAGGGUGAGAAUCCCGUAUUUGGUCAUUCCUUCUAGCUUUGUGAUACACUUUCAAAGAGUCGGAUUGUUUGGGAAUGCAGUCCAAAAUGGGUGGUAAAUUUCAUCUAAAGCUAAAUAUUGGCGAGAGACCGAUAGCGAACAAGUACCGUGAGGGAAAGAUGAAAAGAACUUUGAAAAGAGAGUUAAACAGUACGUGAAAUUGUCAAAAGGGAAGCGUUUGACACCAGUGUUGUUUUUCCGAAAAUCAAUUACUAAUGUUUUGUUUUUGAGGAGUGAUGACUUCAUCGGCUUGCUUCUCUCUUUACGAAACUUUCUGUAAUGCACUUUUCGGUUAACAAGUCAACAUCAAUUUCUUUUGUUGUAAAAGGGUAUUAGGAAGGUGGCUUUCUUUUCGGAGAAAGUGUUUAUAGCCCUUAUGCCUCUACAAUCGGAGAGAUUGAGGUCUGCAGCGUAGAUCCUUCGGGGUUAGAUACAUUUGUGCUAAGUUAUAGCUUUUCAUAGACAACUUGUUGACUAUGUUUAGUCUUGUAGCUUACUCGCUUACUGCUAUUUUACCUACGCUUAGGAUGUUGAACUCUAUCACACACAG
RNAcentral lists this ribosomal RNA (777 nucleotides) under uncultured Neocallimastigales. RNAcentral describes it as "partial large subunit ribosomal RNA". It matches the Rfam family "Eukaryotic large subunit ribosomal RNA", at positions 23 to 634 of the family's 3401-position model. The record is from RNAcentral. Lineage: Eukaryota; Fungi; Neocallimastigomycota; Neocallimastigomycetes; Neocallimastigales.